CUUCUUUUGAAAAGCUCUUUAUUAUUAGUUAACUGGUUUAAAAACAAAAUAAAUAGCCAACCAUCAGAAUAGACGUGAAAUUAUCUCCCCUUUUUUAAAAAAUGUCUCAUCACAACAAAAGGAGUUCAGACAUUGAAACAAAACCAACACAAAGGCACUAAGAUUAGUAUAUCAGUCCCAUCAUUUACAAAAAAAAAAAAACAACAGUAAUAUCCAUUAAGAUAGUGAGCAUAUGAUAUUGUACAAAAAUAAUGCUUAGAUUGAGUUCAAAUGUGAAAUGGGACUCACAUAUUAACCCAUUAUAUUGAGUUAAAUUAUUCAUGUAGUUACAAAUGUCAAUGAUGAAGAAUGACCAAGAUAUGAUAAAAGAUAUUCACAAAUUUAUUUCUGUCCAUUGAAAUAAACUUUCACCCUAUUUUCAGCUGAUUGUAGUUUCAGCUUUCAGUUUUCCAGUGCAUUCACAUCAAAUGUUUGGCAUGUGAACCAAUGUACAAAGUACUGGUAGCUCAAGAGUGUGUGGUACUGAGGUGAAGAGCAGUACAGUUGAACUGGAAGUUUUAAACUUGUUACAUGUUGGACCAGAGAAAAAACAACAACAUGCCAAUUGCUUUCAGUCCAUCUUUACAGAACCAAACAAAAGUGUCCAUGUUUACAAAACC
Molecule: non-coding RNA, 659 nt
Organism: Biomphalaria pfeifferi
Lineage: Eukaryota; Metazoa; Mollusca; Gastropoda; Planorbidae
Source: the annotation of a GenBank genome assembly